Molecule: ribosomal RNA, 385 nt
Filed under: uncultured organism
Description: bacterial SSU rRNA
Rfam family: Bacterial small subunit ribosomal RNA
Source: RNAcentral
UGGAUUAGGCAUGCAAGUCGAGCGAGAACCCGCAAGGGGGACAGCGGCGAACGGGGUAGGACAAUCUAGGUAACGUACCCUCGGGGCGAGGACAGCCACGGGAAACUGUGGGUAAUACUCGAUAAACUUCCCAAUCAUUAUCGGAGGGGAAGCAAUGGGUGUGAUUCCACCUGAGGAGCGGCUUAGACAGUAUCAGCUUGUUGGUGAGGUAACGGCUCACCAAGGCUACGACGCUUAGGGGGUGUGAGAGCAUGGCCCCCACCACUGGCACUGAGACACUGGCCAGACACCUACGGGUGGCUGCAGUCGAGAAUCUUCGGCAAUGGACGCAAGUCUGACCGAGCGACGCCGCGUGCGGGAUGAAGGUCUUCGGAUUGUAAACCGC